GUGUACGUAAGUUAUCCUGGAGCGGUGAGUAAAGCAAAUGUAGGAAUAAGUAACGAUAAGGAGGGUUAGAUUCCCUCCCGCUGUAAGACCAAGGUUUCCCGGGCAAUGCCAAUCAGCCCGGGGUCAGUCGGGUCCUAAGUCUAAGCCGAACGGCGAUGGCGAUGGCAGAGACGGUUAAUAUUCCGUCACUGCCGCAUGGGGCGACGUGGAGACGGAGCAGUGAAACCACCGCGGGGCGACGGAAGUCCCCGUUGAAGAGUGUAGGUGUUGAGGAUGGCAGGCAAAUCCACCGUCCGAGCUGAACUUGAUAGUAUGGAGUCUUCUUCGGAAGAAUCCAAUAGUGUGGGUAAUCAUACUCCCGAGAAAAUCCGCUAAGCUUAACCCAUGCGGCACCCGUACCGCAAACGGACACACGUGGUCGGGUAGAACAUACUGAGGCGCUUGGAAGAUUCACGGUUAAGGAACUAGGCAAAUUGACCCCGUAACUUCGGAAUAAGGGGUCCUC
This 505-nucleotide ribosomal RNA is filed under the name Escherichia coli. RNAcentral describes it as "bacterial LSU rRNA". It matches the Rfam family "Bacterial large subunit ribosomal RNA", at positions 1257 to 1753 of the family's 2925-position model. The record is from RNAcentral. Lineage: Bacteria; Pseudomonadati; Pseudomonadota; Gammaproteobacteria; Enterobacterales; Enterobacteriaceae.